CACGAGGCGAGCGAAACGCGAGAAGCAGCUCCCUGGUUGUCCCUGGUUCCUGCUGGCCUCGACAGAGCGACCGUUUCGUUGACCUGCAGUGGUGUUUUGGCUGAGUAUCGGGUGGUUUAAGUGGCGUCAGCACCAUUCCAGUGGCGCUUGUGCUUACCAAUGGAGGUUCCAUCAGGAUCACGAAUCCACAGGCUGUCCAGAAGGCUCUUAAGGCCACGUCCAACCACUUCCAGAUCAUCACUGAUGUGCGAGCGUUCAGACGGGGAGUAUAGUGUGUCGUUCACCCGACCAGACCUGUGUAGAAGACCUCUUGAAAUGCACUUCAUUCGCUUCCACCCCGCUUGUUACGAACGGCCUGCAAGGGUACCGGCCUACAAAAUUUUCCACCCAGCUGCAGCUGCGGAGGUAACGAGCUUCCCAGCAGCGACCUCGGAACCCUUCCCGAUCUCCUGCGGCGACUUGUUUUGUAGGGACGACAAUGUGCCACGUAAACGCCCCCUCGGUGCAGCUAGAAUAGACGCGGUCGGCAGACCAACUAUUCUUAGUGGAUUCGCCGUCACCGACACGGCUUGUUUGAAGCGGUGGAAAUCCUGGGAGAAGAUGUUUUGCGGCCGUUUCACGGGGUUUAGCAGUCAUGGACAGACGCGGCGGCCAUUGUCUGCGGAGUCAACACAGGGAUGAAGAGGCACCUGCUUGGGUCAACCACCGUGUCUGCGAGAGCCCUCUCACCUUGGUGUGGUCAGUGCAACCUGUGCAGAAGUAAGUGCGUAAACCCUCUCCCUGAAAGGCGGUUCGGCUACGAUGUCUUUGGACGCUCCGAAUUGGUCGACGGUGAACUGCCGUUUUUCCCACACCUAGGGUUCUCGGGAGGAGAGAGUGUAUUUAAGGAGGCUGCUCCUCAGGGUGCAUUCCUCUUUCAGUCAUAUUAGAUUGAUGAACUGUAACGUUCUCAUGUAAAUACCGUA
Dermacentor albipictus is the source of this 965-nucleotide long non-coding RNA. RefSeq lists it as uncharacterized. The record is from RefSeq and is a predicted model, not a curated record. NCBI's taxonomy places the organism in Eukaryota, Metazoa, Arthropoda, Arachnida, Ixodida, Ixodidae.